Molecule: transfer RNA, 64 nt
Filed under: Entylia carinata
Lineage: Eukaryota; Metazoa; Arthropoda; Insecta; Hemiptera; Membracidae
Description: tRNA-Asp
Source: RNAcentral
GAAAAGGUUAGUUUAAUAAAAACACUAAUUUGUCAAAUUAGAAAUAUAAUUAUUAUCUUUUUUU